Molecule: transfer RNA, 88 nt
Filed under: Methanobacteriota archaeon
Lineage: Archaea; Methanobacteriati; Methanobacteriota
Also listed under: 2 other names
Description: Euryarchaeota archaeon tRNA-Leu
Rfam family: tRNA
About the family: Transfer RNA (tRNA) molecules are approximately 80 nucleotides in length. Their secondary structure includes four short double-helical elements and three loops (D, anti-codon, and T loops).
Source: RNAcentral
GCGGGGGUCGCAUAGUAUGGCCAAUUGCGAUAGGUUCAGGGCCUAUUCCGUUAGCGGUACGGGGGUUCGAAUCCCUCCCCCCGCACCA